This is a long non-coding RNA of Triplophysa rosa, 524 nucleotides long. RefSeq lists it as uncharacterized. The transcript has 5 exons. Lineage: Eukaryota; Metazoa; Chordata; Actinopteri; Cypriniformes; Nemacheilidae. The record is from RefSeq and is a predicted model, not a curated record.
GUUGAUUGAGCUACUCUCUGCCGCGAAGACGCUCCUUAACAAAGGAAGUACAAAGGAAUGACCCGUUUUUGGUCUGUAAAAGUUCAGUGUAGGUAAGCUGUUAUUGGCCGGUUGCAGCUUUUGGUUGAGCGGCGGUUGCAUCGACCAAUAUCAAUAGCUCAGGGGUCGAUGCGGAAGGCCAGCAGCUUGUCAGAGUGAAGGCUGUUGAGGGUGCGCAGAUCUGGCAGGCGCAGGAGCAGCUUAGGAAAGAGGGAGCUGUCGUCAGGACGACGACGGGUCACUAAGAAACCAGCACCACAGCCAUAAAAAGUGCCAUCUCAUCCGACUCCAGACCAAGAGAGCACAGCUUCGAACUGAACUCAAACAUGGCAUCUAGCAAGGAGCCCAUGCCCAGUCCCCUGAGAGUCGCCAGUGGGUAAACCAAAAAUGGAGGUCACUUACUGGUGAACGUCCCGGUGAACCCACAAGGCCUUUUGCCAGCGAUGGGAUGGGAGUAGUUGUGCUGGUUUGAGUUUGCUGAGGAG